Molecule: ribosomal RNA, 253 nt
Filed under: uncultured prokaryote
Description: partial 16S ribosomal RNA
Rfam family: Bacterial small subunit ribosomal RNA
Source: RNAcentral
ACAGAGGGUGCGAGCGUUGUCCGGAAUCACUGGGCGUAAAGGGCGCGUAGGCGGUCCGCUAAGUGUGUGGUGAAAGCUCGGGGCUCAACCCCGAGUCGGCCGUGCAAACUGGUGGACUUGAGCAUGUCAGAGGCAGGCGGAAUUCCGGGUGUAGCGGUGGAAUGCGUAGAGAUCCGGAAGAACACCGGUGGCGUAGGCGGCCUGCUGGGACAUGACUGACGCUGAGGCGCGACAGCGUGGGGAGCAAACAGGA